GACGAACGCUGGCGGCGUGCUUAACACAUGCAAGUCAAGGACAAUCCCGCCUUCGGGUGGGAGGAUACUGGCGAACGGGUGAGUAACGCGUAGAUAACCUGCCUCACAGAUCGGGAUAGCCCCGGGAAACCGGGAUUAAUACCGGAUACGAUCCCACAUCGCAAGCUGCGGGAUGAAAGCGGGCUUCGGCUCGCACUGAGAGAUGGGUCUGCGUCUGAUUAGCUUGUUGGUAGGGUAACGGCCUACCAAGGCGACGAUCAGUAGCUGGUCUGAGAGGAUGAUCAGCCACACUGGGACUGAGAUACGGCCCAGACUCCUACGGGAGGCAGCAGUGGGGAAUUUUGCGCAAUGGGCGAAAGCCUGACGCAGCAACGCCGCGUGACCGAUGAAGCUUCGAGGAGUGUAAAGGUCUGUCCCAGGGGAAGAAAGAUCCCGAUAUGAAUAAUAUCGGAAGAUGACGGUACCCUGGAAGAAAGCCCCGGCUAACUUCGUGCCAGCAGCCGCGGUAAUACGAGGGGGGCGAGCGUUGUCCGGAAUCAUUGGGUGUAAAGGGCUCGUAGGCGGAUCGAUCAGUCGGAACUUAAAUCCCACGGCUUAACCGUGGAGCUGGUUUCGAUACUGUCGGUCUUGAGUUCGGUAGGGGAAGGCGGAAUUCCUGGUGUAGCGGUGAAAUGCGUAGAUAUCAGGAGGAACACCGAAGGCGAAGGCAGCCUUCUGGGCCGAAACUGACGCUAAGGAGCGAAAGCGUGGGUAGCGAACAGGAUUAGAUACCCUGGUAGUCCACGCCGUAAACGAUGAGUACUUGAUGGUGGGGGAUUCGACCCCGUCACUGUCGGAGCUAACGCGUUAAGUACUCCACCUGGGGACUACGGCCGCAAGGCUGAAACUCAAAGGAAUUGACGGGGGCCC
RNAcentral lists this ribosomal RNA (909 nucleotides) under uncultured bacterium. RNAcentral describes it as "bacterial SSU rRNA". It matches the Rfam family "Bacterial small subunit ribosomal RNA", at positions 28 to 922 of the family's 1533-position model. The record is from RNAcentral.